Molecule: ribosomal RNA, 475 nt
Filed under: Acinetobacter baumannii OIFC032
Lineage: Bacteria; Pseudomonadati; Pseudomonadota; Gammaproteobacteria; Moraxellales; Moraxellaceae
Description: bacterial SSU rRNA
Rfam family: Bacterial small subunit ribosomal RNA
Source: RNAcentral
AUGCAAGUCGAGCGGGGGAAGGUAGCUUGCUACUGGACCUAGCGGCGGACGGGUGAGUAAUGCUUAGGAAUCUGCCUAUUAGUGGGGGACAACAUCUCGAAAGGGAUGCUAAUACCGCAUACGUCCUACGGGAGAAAGCAGGGGAUCUUCGGACCUUGCGCUAAUAGAUGAGCCUAAGUCGGAUUAGCUAGUUGGUGGGGUAAAGGCCUACCAAGGCGACGAUCUGUAGCGGGUCUGAGAGGAUGAUCCGCCACACUGGGACUGAGACACGGCCCAGACUCCUACGGGAGGCAGCAGUGGGGAAUAUUGGACAAUGGGGGGAACCCUGAUCCAGCCAUGCCGCGUGUGUGAAGAAGGCCUUAUGGUUGUAAAGCACUUUAAGCGAGGAGGAGGCUACUUUAGUUAAUACCUAGAGAUAGUGGACGUUACUCGCAGAAUAAGCACCGGCUAACUCUGUGCCAGCAGCCGCGGUAAU